Molecule: transfer RNA, 64 nt
Filed under: Nycteribia formosana
Lineage: Eukaryota; Metazoa; Arthropoda; Insecta; Diptera; Nycteribiidae
Description: tRNA-His
Source: RNAcentral
AUUUAAAUAGUUUAAUAAAAACAUUGAUUUGUGGAAUCAAAGUUAAGAAAUUUCUUUUUAAAUA